GCCUCUCUGGGACUGGGGCCCCGGCGCUGCGCUCCGGUGGCCUACGAAGGCGAGGGUGGGAGGCGCCCAGGGCGGAAAUCCAGCUCUCGGGUGAGGACUUUAAAAAGCGCGGGGCGGGAGGAGUCAGAAAACGGUUUUGAGCAGGAAAACUACGCGACAGGAAGUGUAUACAUUGCCCUACAGCAGAAAGACAGGGGACGGCCCAGCCUCAGGGCGACUUUAAACCCAAAAGGAAGCGAUAUCCGGACUCUCAUGGAGACGUCUCAAUUUGUCCUGGGUGAAGGAAGAAGGACGAGAAUUUCCAGGUCUGUGGAGACCCUACGUCUCAGUUUUAGUAAAGAUGGGGUUUCACCGUAUUAGCCAGGAUGGUCUCGAUCUCCUGACCUCGUGAUCCACCCGUCUCGGCCUCCCAAAGUGCUGGGAUUACAGACGUGAGCCAUCGCGCCCGGCCAGUGAUCCAACAUUAUUCUUUUCCACGUGGAUAUCCAGUUAGUUGUCCCAGCGUAUUUGUCUACAAGGCCACCAGCUAUGUAGAAUCCAACUUCUUUAAGACUCAUAUAAGAUAAGCCCUAUACUGUAAUCUUGUCCAGUCCCACUGCUGCUAAAGUUGCAGGUGUUGUGCCUUGGAUCCACCACAGUCAGCUGAAACUGGCAGCUCAAGACAAGUAGAAAAGCCAGCAGGACCCAGAUGAUCCAACUUGGCUGAUCCUGAGAUGAGAUCAAGCUGCUGCUAAAGAAGACCGCCUGCUGUAGUCACUACGGAGUCUGACCAGUCUAUGCACAGCUGAAGCUUGAGGGGACAAUCCCUGCUCUAGUCACACACCAGAAGCUGACUAGUCUAUGCAUGGCUGAAGCUUGAAGAGUCAUUAAGCCAGUAAAUGGAGUUAGGAAUCUUAAGACUAGUAGUUUUCCUUGUAAUACUGUUUUUCUAUUGUUCUGUCACUGUGCUCAAUCUCCUCCCCGGAGUAAUGACCUCUUCUGUCCUUGCUAGACAGGAAUAUGCUAUUCAUUGCUUUGCUGUUAUUACCCCCCUUUACCAUGCUAAAAGAAGCAACCAUAGAAAAGUGUCCCCAUUAUAUACAUACUACAUAGUCAAGGAACAGUAUAACCAAGACUCUAUGAUACCAAACUUAUUAUGAGUGUACAAGGACUCACCUAAGAACUUGUACUUAAAAUCAGAUCACCUAUUCAAUUCACGACCCAGGAAAUAGCCAGCCUUAUAUAUGCUAUGACCCCAAGUCUUUACCUAAGACUUAAUUUGAAGUUCAUAUCAAGUCAAAAGAAAGAAGUCUUAUAGGUCAAACCCAAGCCUCUCCCCCAGGAGGAGGCCAUAUCCAUAUAUUUUGAUGUUUGUCAGUUAACAUCCAUGAACCCAGCCUAUCUCACAAUCUCUGGUCUUACAAAGUACUAUACAAACUGCCAGUACAAAAUUGUUUGUGCACCCCCUGUUUGCCCCUCCAAGGCCCUAGCAAUAGCUUGCUGGAACUACACAAUGCAGUUCACUGACUGAUCAUCACUAACAAGACAGCAAAUGCAUUAGAGUUACUAGCCAAGCAAGCCACAAAAAUGAAAAAUGCUGUUUAUCAGAACAGAUUAGCUUUAGACUACCUCCUAGCCCAGGAAAGAGGAACAUGUAGAAAGUUCAAUCUAACUAAUUGCUGCCUAGAAAUCGAUGAAAAUAGAAAGGCAAUUAUAGAAAUAACUGCAAGAAUAAGAAAAUUAGCCCAUGUUCCAGUUCAAACUUAGAAAAGGUAGUCUCCAGAUUCUGUCUUUAGAGAUUAAUUUUCAUUUUUGGAAAAUUCAAGAUUUUAAUAAGAGUAUUUCUAGCCAUACUAAGAAGUUGCCUAAUACUCCCUUGUCUCUUACCUCUCCUUGUUAGAAGCAUUCAAUCAGCUAUAGAGGUGAUAGCAGCUAGGGAAACUACCACUCAGCUGAUGGCUCUGCACAAAUAUCAACCUUUGCCCAAAGAAGAAAACUUGUCUCUUCGCGCAGAACUAAGUAAUGGUGAGGCCUUCUAUAAAAGAAGUUUUAUAGAAGGCCUCAAAAGGAGGAAAAACGUAGUAAGGGUUAAAAAGAAAAAGAAGUUUUCCUCUGCUUAGCAGCUCACUUCAAGGACAGUUAUAAGAUAACGCUGUCUUGAAAGGCAAGGCCAAAGGAACAGGCUCCAGAGAGCUCCUGCCUCCUGAGCAAAGUUGAGGGGGAAAAAAAGAGAAAGAAAUUAUUUUACUGUUACUCCUUUCCCUAGUCUCUCAAACAUGACUAUAUUUUACAAAUAUCUGUAUUUAGCCACUUCUUGUUUUUCUUUUGACGCAGCUACAAGGCCAUCAGCUACGCAAGGCCACAAGACGUGCAUGUGAUUAACUGCCUUUGUUUUGCUUUUGUAACCCCACUUAUAAAAGUCCCACUCUUUGUUCAAGGCUCAGCUUUUUAGAUAUAAAUCCACUCAGCCAGUGCUUACCUUAAAAUAAACAUCCUUCUGUAAUCCCGUA
Symphalangus syndactylus (siamang) is the source of this 2489-nucleotide long non-coding RNA. RefSeq lists it as uncharacterized. The record is from RefSeq and is a predicted model, not a curated record. Lineage: Eukaryota; Metazoa; Chordata; Mammalia; Primates; Hylobatidae.